Long non-coding RNA from Hydra vulgaris (swiftwater hydra), 345 nucleotides. RefSeq lists it as uncharacterized. NCBI's taxonomy places the organism in Eukaryota, Metazoa, Cnidaria, Hydrozoa, Anthoathecata, Hydridae. The record is from RefSeq and is a predicted model, not a curated record.
UUUAAGUUCACUUUAAAAACUUUUUUACGCGUAAAAAAUGUCGUUUUCAAACUGGUUACAACUUUUAAAUGGGGGAUGGCAAUCCUGGGAUUACGUACAAAUUGUUCCGUAUAAUUUAUUUCAAUAGACGUUCUUGGUCAGAUGUCGAUCGUAAAUGGUUUUUGAUUAAUUUCAAAUUGCUAAAACUUCUUUCAGAUUUAUUAAUAAAUGUAGCUACGGGCGAAAGAAAUUGAAAAAACUUGAAAAUUGUUUCUUACAUUGGUAAUGUAAGAAACGAUCUUAAAGUUUUUUUAACGAUUAAAUCAACAUAUGUAUUUAGAUUCAAAUACAAAUAAACAGUUCAAU